Symphalangus syndactylus (siamang) is the source of this 5184-nucleotide long non-coding RNA. RefSeq lists it as uncharacterized. Lineage: Eukaryota; Metazoa; Chordata; Mammalia; Primates; Hylobatidae. The record is from RefSeq and is a predicted model, not a curated record.
GGGCGCUCACGCAACCGCCUCUGUCUGGAGCGGGCUCGCCUCUGCGGCAGCGGUCAGUGCCCGGGCUUUACUGAAGCCGAGUCUACCAUAUGGGGAGGCUCCACAGCGGUGGGGGUGGCGGGGGUGGCGGGGGUGGUGGCGGCUCCUCUGCAGCAGCCUCAGCAGCAGCGGUCGCCAUGGCCAAGCCCACCGUGAAGCUCAUCUAAGAGUUGUAAGCCAAGACAAUCCUAAGCAAAAAGAACAAAGCUGGAGUCAUCACGCUACCUGACUUCAGACUAUACUGCAAGGCUACAGUAACCAAAACACCAUGGUACUAGUACCAAAACAGAUGUAUAGACCAAUGGAACAGAACAGAGGCCUCAGAAAUAACACCACACACCUACAACCAUCUAAUUUUUGACAAACCUGACAAAAACAAGCAAUGGGGAAAGGAUUCACUAUUUAAUAAAUGAUGUUGGGAAAACUGGCUAGCCAUAGGCAGAAAACUGAAACUGGACCCCUUACUUACACCUUAUACAAAAAUUAACUCAAUUUUGUUAAGGUGGAUUAAAUUAAUUUGGAUUUAAUUAAGAUGGAUUAAAGACUUAAUUAUAAGACCUAAAACCAUAAAAACCCUAGAAGAAAACCUAGGCCAUACCACUCAGGACACAGGUAUGGGCAAAGACUUCAUCACUAAAACUCCAAAAGCAAUGGCAACAAAGUCCAAAUAGACAAAUUGGACCUGAUUAAACUAAAGGGCUUCAGCACAGCAAAAGAAACUAUCAUCAAAGUGAACAGGCAACCUACAGAAUGGAAGAAAAUUCUUGCAAUCUAUCCAUCUGACAAAGGGCUAAUAUCCAAAAUCUACAAAGAGCUUAAACAAAUUUACAAGAAAAAAAACAAACAACCCCAUCAAAAAGUGGGCUAAGGAUGUGAACAGACACUUCUCAAAAGAAAACAUUUAUGCAGCCAACAAACAUGAAAAAAAGCUCAUCAUCACUGCUCAUUAGAGAAAUGCAAAUCAAAACCACAAUGAGAUACCAUCUCACACCAGUUAGAAUGGCCAUCAUUAAAAUGUCAGGAAACAACAGCUGCUGGAGAGGAUAUGUAGAAAGAGGAACACUUUUACACUGUUGGUGGGAGUGUAAAUUAGUUCAACCAUUGUGGAAGACAGUGUGGCCAUUCCUCAAAGACCUAUAACCAGAAACACCAUUUGACCCAGCAAUCCCAUUUCUGGGUAUAUACCCAAAGUAUUAUAAAUCAUUCUACUAUAAAGAGACAUGCACACAUAUGUUUAUUGCAGCACUGUUCACAGUAGCAAAGACUUGGAACCAACCCAAAUGCCCAUCAAUGAUAGACUGGAUAAAGAAAAUGUGGCACAUAUACACCAUGGAAUACUAUGCGGCCAUAAAAAAAGAUGAGUUCACGUCCUUUGCAGGGACAUGGAUGAAGCUGGAAACCAUCAUUCUCAGCAAACUAACACAAAAACAGAAAACCAAACACCGCAUGUUCCCACUCAUAAGUGGGAGUGGAACAAUGAGAACACAUGGACACAGGGAGGGGAACAUCAUACACCAGGGCCUGUUGGGGGUAUGGGGGGCUGGGGAAGGGAUAGCAUUAGGAGAAAUGCUUAAUAUAGAUGAUGGGUUGGUGGGUGCGGUAAAUCACCAUGGCACGAUUAUACCUAUAUAACAAACCUGCAAGUUCUGCACAUGUAUCUCAGAACUUAAAGUAUAAUAAUUUUAAAAAAAGGAAAAAUGUAAAAAAAGAAAUUAAAAAGUGGGGGUUGGAACAUAGAAGAAAGAAAAGAAAUGCAAUUUGAAGGACAGUAUGUGCAGUGUAAUCUCAUUUGUGGAAACAAUUGAAACAAUUUUAAAAAAAAAAUGCAUGUAAAUGUAUAGGAAACUUCUGGAAAGAUACACAAAGCCAAGAGUUAUAUGGGAAGAGGGUAAAAGAACCAUAGGGAAGAGUUAUCUUUUACUUUUCACAUAACUUUCUAUCCCUUUUUAAAAUAAUAAGCAUGUUUUAUUUUUAUAAUUUAAUGAACAGAUGUGUUGAUUUGAAAAACACACUGAUCCUGAAAGUUAAAAUUCCAAUUCAGAGAAAGUUGAUUUCUAUGAAAACUAUCAAUCCCCCAACAAUGCCAUCAAAAUGAAGUGUAGCUAUACAACACAGACAGUGGUUGAGGUUGUCAUCACUCAAUUGAAUUUCACAUAUAGAAUUUAAAACACCCAACCGGGCUCAGUGGCUCACGCCUGUAAUCCCAGCACUUUUGGAGGCCGAGACAGGAAGAUCACUAGGUCAAGAGAUGGAGACCAUCCUGGCCAACAUGGUGAAACCCCAUUUCUACUAAAAAUCAAAAAAAUAGCUGGGUGAGGUGGUGUGCUAGCUCACCAGCUACUGUAGUCCCAGCUACUCGGGAGGCUGAGGCAGGAGAAUCGCUUGAACCCGGGAGGCAGAGGUUGCAGUGAGCUGAGAUUGUGCCACUGCACUCCAGCCUGGUGACAGGGCAAGACGCCGUCUCAAAAAAAAAAAAAAAGAAUUUAAAAUGUCUCAGUCCUUGGUGGACUGAACAAAAGAAGAUUAACACGGGAAUAAAGACAAAAGAGUAUACAUGGAAGAAGGGGUCAGGGGGCUCAUUGCUUCUAGUGAACAAGGGCCCUGAGCUUCUAUACCUCUUCAUAUUUACUGAGUAAAGGAGAUAGGGAGAAAGGGGUGGUUGUCAGUAAGCUGCUUGACUUAGUGCAGGCUUGCAUGACUGCAUUCUUUGAAAAGUAGUCUCCAGAUGUUCCAGUAGAUAACCUCAAGAAGCACAGCACCAGGGAGUAAUUGCCCUCAGCAAACCUCCUGGUGGCAGGUGCAGAAGCGAGUUGCCCACAUUCUGCACUCAUGAUAAACAGUUUGCUGUUUGAUCAUAUAGCCUUCAGUGGAAUGCUGAGUUGGUCUCGACCCUCAGGCCUUUGGCUCCCUACAUUAAAACACCCAUUUCACCAGAUUAAAAAUAUUCAAUAAAAUUUCUAAAAAGCACUUAACACUUGCCAGCACUUAGUAAGGAAGUGCUCAAUAAAUACUGUUAACACUCUUACUAUUAUUUCUCUGCUUGGGAGUUGUCCUAACCCCACACCAGCCCUCCCACAUUGCCUAAUCCUGACUGGUGUCAGUGAUGCAUGACUCAACAGUGAAUCUAGGACAGCUAUUGCAAAAUGCAAGACUUAAAUUCCACCCCAGGUGAAUUCUCUUCUGGACCACAGGUAGCUCUUGAAAAGGAUGGGAGUAGAGCCCUCAAUCAUGGAGGCAUUUGUCCUUCAAGAUAGGCAGAUGUUACCACCUCCAUACAAGAACAAUCCCAUUGCCUAUUACAGUUCCCAUUUCAAAGAGAUACUCCCACAUAUGCAUGCAUUUCCCCAAAAGAUUUCCUGUUCUCCUUUUUUUUUUUUGAGAUGGAGUCGCUCAUUCUGUUGCCCAGGCUGGAGAGCAGUGGCAUGAUCUUGGCUCACUGCAACCUCUGCCUCCCAGGUUCAAGUAAUUCUCCUGCCUCAGCCUCCUGAGUAGCUGGGAUUACAGGCACGUGCCACCAGCCCCAGCUAGUUAUUGUAUUUUUAGUAGAGACAGGGUUUCACCAUGUUGGUCAGGCUGGUGUCCAACUCCUGACCGUGCCCAGCUAAUUUUUGUAUUUUUAGUAAAGACAGGAUUUCACCAUGUUGGCCAGGCUGGUCUCGAACUCCAGACUACACCGGGCUACUUUUUGUAUUUUCAAUAGAGACGAGGUUUCAUCAUCUUGGCCAGCUGGUCUCGGACUCCUGAUCUCAAGUGAUCUGCCCACCUCAGCCUCCUAAAGUGAGAUUACAGGCAUGAGCCACUAUGACCGGCCCAAGAUUUUCUGUUCUUAUCUCCAAUAAGCCAGCUUGAUGAGGAGUAGUGCUAGAGAUUCCCAUACUUCUUGACUUCCUUCUAUCCUUUUCUGCUCACAGGCCCCCUCCCUAAUGUCCCCUGUGCUCUCCACAAAAGAAAUAGUGCUAGAGGCCAAAUAGCAACCCUGCGCACACAAGGAAGGGCCAUGUAAUGUUCACCAAGCUCCCAAGCCACAAUUCUCUUUUCACAGAAUCCUUUGCUCUUUGAAGUGUAGUCUUCCUCACCUUCCUGCAACCCUCAGCCCCUCAGUGGGCGUGUCUACCUCUGAAGAGAAGGGGAAGAGACAUCAAACGCCCCCUGCAGGCCUGUCCCUUUGAACCAAGCCUUGAGAACCCCCGCAGCAGUCCUCCUGUGUACCCUCACCCCAGCCCCACACACAGAUGGAGAGCCCUGGGAAGGGUUCCCACAGUGCAUUAGCUCCAAACAGUGCAAGAGGACAAGGAGUGUGGCACUUCCAGCCUGUCAAUAAUUCAUGAGGCUCAGACUAAGGAGCAUCAGUCAGAGUCAGCUUUCCCUGGACAUGGGGAAAAUGAUAUUUAAGCUCUCCUGUCUCAUCGGGAUGUGCCGAGUAGCAAAGCAGAGGACUGCAGCUGUAACUUCUUGGCUGAGGAAAACACUAUCAAUCCAGUGCAGGCCGUCCUAUUACUUGCUCUCCAUGCAUCCCGUUUUGAAUGUCGAAAUCCUUUUUUUUUUUUUUUUUUUUUGAGACAGAGUCUCCGUCUGUCGCUCAGGCUGGAGUGCAGUGGUGUGAUCUCAGCUCACUGCAAGCUCCGCAUCCCGGGUUCAUGCUAUUCUCCUGCCUCAGCCUCCUCUGUAGCUGGGACUAUAGGCACGUGCCACCACACCCGGCAAAUUUUUUGUAUUUUUAGUAGAGAUGGGUUUCAUCGUGUUAGCCAGGAUGGACUUGAUCUCCUGACCUCGUGAUCCACCCACCUCGGCCUCCCAAAGUGCUGGGAUUACAGGCGUGAGCCACCACACCCUGCUGAAUGUCGAAAUUCUUUUUCAGCUGCUCAGCUGACCUGCACGUAUACUAAAUGAAUCUUGAGCAAACAUGAAUUCUGUUAAAAAGUCAUGCCUAGAACUGGAUUUCACAAACCAGAAUUCUUCCCCCUCUAAUUGUAGGGACAGGCAUAAGGCUGCCAAACUGGUGAUUUCACCAACAACACAUCUCUAAACCUACCCAUCUGCUUUCAUCAUCUUUUCUGAAAGAAAACACUAACACACACACACACAAAAAGAAGCAAACCUAUACUCCACAAUAAAGGACUGUUAAAUAAGCUUAACUUUAUGAAA